This 99-nucleotide signal recognition particle RNA is filed under the name Chlamydiota bacterium. Its description in RNAcentral is "Chlamydiae bacterium (mine drainage metagenome) signal recognition particle sRNA small type". It matches the Rfam family "Bacterial small signal recognition particle RNA". Rfam says of the family: The signal recognition particle (SRP) is a universally conserved ribonucleoprotein involved in the co-translational targeting of proteins to membranes. Archaeal SRP consists of a 7S RNA and homologues of the eukaryotic SRP19 and SRP54 proteins. Lineage: Bacteria; Pseudomonadati; Chlamydiota. The record is from RNAcentral.
GCCGGGGACCUUUUGGAGUAGAGCGGCUUGAACCAGGUCAGAGCAGGAAUGCAGCAGCCUUAAGAGUUUAGCUCUAUGCUAGAAGUCAUCUCCGGUAUU